Molecule: ribosomal RNA, 649 nt
Filed under: uncultured bacterium
Lineage: Bacteria
Description: bacterial SSU rRNA
Rfam family: Bacterial small subunit ribosomal RNA
Source: RNAcentral
GUUUGAUCAUGGCUCAGAUUGAACGCUGGCGGCAGGCUAACACAUGCAAGUCGAGCGGCACGGAAAGUAGCUUGCUACUUUUGCCGGCGAGCGGCGGACGGGUGAGUACAUGCCUGGGGAUCUGCCCAGUCGAGGGGGAUAACAGUUGGAAACGACUGCUAAUACCGCAUACGCCCUACGGGGAAAGGAGGGGACCUUCGGGCUUUCGCGAUUGGAUGAACCCAGGUGGGAUUAGCUAGUUGGUGGGGUAAUGGCUCACCAAGGCGACGAUCCCUAGCUGGUCUGAGAGGAUGAUCAGCCACACUGGAACUGAGACACGGUCCAGACUCCUACGGGAGGCAGCAGUGGGGAAUAUUGCACAAUGGGGGAAACCUGAUGCAGCCAUGCCGCGUGUGUGAAGAAGGCUUCGGGUUGUAAAGCACUUUCAGCGAGGAGGAAAGGUUGGUCGCUAAUAACGGCCAACUGUGACGUUACUCGCAGAAGAAAGCACCGGCUAACUCCGUGCCAGCAGCCGCGGUAAUACGGAGGUGCAAAGCGUUAAUCGGAUUACUGGGCGUAAAGCGCACGCAGGCGGUUGGAUAAGUUAGAUGUGAAGCCCGGGCUCAACCUGGGAUUGCAUUUAAAACUGUCAGCUAGAGUCUUGUAGAGG